AAUGAACACUGGCGGCAGGCCUAACACAUGCAAGUCGAACGGAUCCUUCGGGAUUAGUGGCGGACGGGUGAGUAACGCGUGGGAACCUACCCUUUGGUACGGAAUAGCCUCGGGAAACUGGGAGUAAUACCGUAUGUGGUCGAGAGACGAAAGAUUUAUCGCCAAAGGAUUGGCCCGCGUUGGAUUAGGUAGUUGGUGGGGUAAUGGCCUACCAAGCCGACGAUCCAUAGCUGGUUUGAGAGGAUGAUCAGCCACACUGGGACUGAGACACGGCCCAGACUCCUACGGGAGGCAGCAGUGGGGAAUCUUAGACAAUGGGGGAAACCCUGAUCUAGCCAUGCCGCGUGAUCGAUGAAGGCCUUAGGGUUGUAAAGAUCUUUCAGGUGGGAAGAUAAUGACUGUACCACCAGAAGAAGCCCCGGCUAACUCCGUGCCAGCCGCCGCGGUAA
This 449-nucleotide ribosomal RNA is filed under the name uncultured bacterium. RNAcentral describes it as "partial 16S ribosomal RNA". It matches the Rfam family "Bacterial small subunit ribosomal RNA", at positions 29 to 523 of the family's 1533-position model. The record is from RNAcentral.